RNAcentral lists this ribosomal RNA (697 nucleotides) under Streptococcus thermophilus. RNAcentral describes it as "bacterial SSU rRNA". It matches the Rfam family "Bacterial small subunit ribosomal RNA", at positions 740 to 1443 of the family's 1533-position model. The record is from RNAcentral. Lineage: Bacteria; Bacillati; Bacillota; Bacilli; Lactobacillales; Streptococcaceae.
AGAACGCUGAGGCUGAAAGCGUGGGGAGCGAACAGGAUUAGAUACCCUGGUAGUCCACGCCGUAAACGAUGAGUGCUAGGUGUUGGAUCCUUUCCGGGAUUCAGUGCCGAGCUAACGCAUUAAGCACUCCGCCUGGGGAGUACGACCGCAAGGUUGAAACUCAAAGGAAUUGACGGGGGCCCGCACAAGCGGUGGAGCAUGUGGUUUAAUUGAAGCAACGCGAAGAACCUUACCAGGUCUUGACAUCCCGAUGCUAUUUCUAGAGAUAGAAAGUUACUUGGUACAUCGGUGACAGGUGGUGCAUGGUUGUCGUCAGCUCGUGUCGUGAGAUGUUGGGUUAAGUCCCGCAACGAGCGCAACCCCUAUUGUUAGUUGCCAUCAUUCAGUUGGGCACUCUAGCGAGACUGCCGGUAAUAAACCGGAGGAAGGUGGGGAUGACGUCAAAUCAUCAUGCCCCUUAUGACCUGGGCUACACACGUGCUACAAUGGUUGGUACAACGAGUUGCGAGUCGGUGACGGCGAGCUAAUCUCUUAAAGCCAAUCUCAGUUCGGAUUGUAGGCUGCAACUCGCCUACAUGAAGUCGGAAUCGCUAGUAAUCGCGGAUCAGCACGCCGCGGUGAAUACGUUCCCGGGCCUUGUACACACCGCCCGCCACCACGAGAGUUUGUAACACCCGAAGUCGGUGAGGUAACCUUU